This 429-nucleotide ribosomal RNA is filed under the name uncultured prokaryote. RNAcentral describes it as "bacterial SSU rRNA". It matches the Rfam family "Bacterial small subunit ribosomal RNA", at positions 355 to 776 of the family's 1533-position model. The record is from RNAcentral. RNAcentral also lists the same sequence under 1 other name.
UAGGGAAUCUUCCGCAAUGGACGAAAGUCUGACGGAGCAACGCCGCGUGAACGAAGAAGGCCUUCGGGUCGUAAAGUUCUGUUGUUAGGGAAGAACAAGUACCAGAGUAACUGCUGGUACCUUGACGGUACCUAACCAGAAAGCCACGGCUAACUACGUGCCAGCAGCCGCGGUAAUACGUAGGGGGCAAGCGUUGUCCGGAAUUAUUGGGCGUAAAGCGCGCGCAGGCGGUCCUUUAAGUCUGAUGUGAAAGACCACGGCUCAACCGUGGAGGGUCAUGGGAAACUGGGGGACUUGAGGGCAGAAGAGGAAAGCGGAAUUCCACGUGUAGCGGUGAAAUGCGUAGAUAUGUGGAGGAACACCAGUGGCGAAGGCGGCUUUCUGGUCUGUAACUGACGCUGAGGCGCGAAAGCGUGGGGAGCAAACAGG